AUUUUUAACCAUUAUUGUAUUAGAAUUCAGAAAAUAAAAAUGAUUUUGAUACUAUUGUUUUAUCUGCACCUUAUUUCCUUUUUGACGUCAUGUAAAGCUGAAGAAAAGCCUCUUUUACAAGAAAGGUUAAGACCUUUGCCUUUAGAUGAGAUGAAAAACAGAAUCCACACUAAAUUUGAAGAUGUUCCUUUAAGAGUACCCAGGAGUACAGGGAAGAAGGGAUUUAUUGCUUUAUCAACGUGCGUAAUAGCAUCUUUAUGUGGGUAAUAAAUAACGAGAUUUUCUUAAUGGAAAGAUCAUAAUUUUUAACCUUUUAAUAUUGUAUAACACAUAUAUUCAUAAUUAAAUAUAAGUAAAUUUAAGAACAUAAACACAAUAAUUAGAACGCGCCUUGUAACAUUGAUCAUUUAGGCACAGGAAUAGUGAUAUAUAAAGCACCUUGUAUACGCUGUAAAUGUAAAUUAAAAAAACGUAAUUUUAGAGAUAAUAUUUAAUAAAACUGUUAUUUUAUA
Long non-coding RNA from Anthonomus grandis grandis, 512 nucleotides. RefSeq lists it as uncharacterized. The record is from RefSeq and is a predicted model, not a curated record. Lineage: Eukaryota; Metazoa; Arthropoda; Insecta; Coleoptera; Curculionidae. The transcript is spliced from 2 exons.